RNAcentral lists this long non-coding RNA (120 nucleotides) under Mus musculus (house mouse). RNAcentral's name for it is "predicted gene 28840". The record is from RNAcentral. Lineage: Eukaryota; Metazoa; Chordata; Mammalia; Rodentia; Muridae.
CUGGUCUGUAUCAAAAGACAGAAUCUUGAUGACUAAGACAUUUUCUUUGGGUUUGAAGUCUCCAGAGCAGCAAAGAGAGUGGGGAGUAGAACUCAUCAUCUUUAGGUCACUCAACAUCGA